Colossoma macropomum (tambaqui) is the source of this 884-nucleotide long non-coding RNA. RefSeq lists it as uncharacterized. The record is from RefSeq and is a predicted model, not a curated record. Lineage: Eukaryota; Metazoa; Chordata; Actinopteri; Characiformes; Serrasalmidae. The transcript has 2 exons.
CAUAUUUCCCUCAGAAUGCCUACACAGUCUGCCAUUGAUAGCUGUGCUGCCGCAGUCUACCUCGUCAUUUCUGAUUAUUGUAUUUGAAGUCUAGUGGUAUAUUCGAAGUGGAGAAAAGAGAGAAAUAUCCAACAUUGAAGAAAGAUCACCAUGGAGAAAAGUGUUCAGGGAGUUGGUCGUUGUAAAUUUGCAUUUUGGUUCGCUGUGUUCCAUGACAUUUUUGGUUUGCUGGUCCUCUUGUCUGGUGUGUUUUGGGAUAUUUUCUUCCAUGACUUUUUGAUCUAUGCAGGAUCUGUGAUAAUUUUUCUGAGCCUGAUAUGGUGGGUGUUCUGGUACACUGGUAACAUUGAGGUGCCUCCUGCAGAGUUGGACGAUGAUGUUAUGCCGCAUAAAAGAAAAAAGGGGAUUUCAGGUGUUGUGCGCAAAGUCUCCAACCGUCUUUCGAAUGGUUUAAGAAAUUCCUUUAGGAAAAGUGGGAGAUCCAGCGGGCAGGUGGGAAACUCUUGGCUGAACGGCACCAACGGGACAGUUCCAGCAGAACAGCCUUCUAUCUCCAUGGUCUCCUAUGUGAACACACAACCAGUGGGGAAGACCAACAACUUAAACAGAGAACCAAUAUCAGUAUAACCUAGAGUGGUGUGAAGAUCAUUGCCUCCAGACAACCGCACCUACACACUGUCAAGAAAGCACAUGACUGAAAACAUAUAGUGAAUAUAGUGUGGAGUCAUUUCUCAUUUCUUCACAGUUGAUUUACUUUUUUAUGAUACUAUGUAAAUGUUCUGGGUAAUACAAUGACUGUUGAAUAUAUUUCCAAUAUGAUGAAAUGAAUUGUACUUGAUUACCAUUGAAAUACUGAAAUAUAUAUUUAACGUGUUGCUGGGAAA